Molecule: non-coding RNA, 101 nt
Filed under: Secundilactobacillus similis
Lineage: Bacteria; Bacillati; Bacillota; Bacilli; Lactobacillales; Lactobacillaceae
Also listed under: 1 other name
Description: Lactobacillus similis TPP sequence
Rfam family: TPP riboswitch aptamer (THI element)
About the family: Vitamin B(1) in its active form thiamin pyrophosphate (TPP) is an essential coenzyme that is synthesised by coupling of pyrimidine and thiazole moieties in bacteria. The previously detected thiamin-regulatory element, thi box was extended, resulting in a new, highly conserved RNA secondary structure, the THI element, which is widely distributed in eubacteria and also occurs in some archaea.
Source: RNAcentral
AAAAAAAGCUAGGGGUGCUUGAAAUGAGCUGAGAUGGCAAUGCCAGACCCUUUGAACCUGAUAGAGUUAGGACUCGCGGAGGAAAGCUGAUCACACGCACG